CCAUUCCGAUCGUCUUGUGAUCUAGAUCAGUGGUCCCCAACCUUUUUGAGGCUGCGGACCGGUCAACACAUGAAGAUUUUACCACGGGCCGGUGGCAAGGGGUCCACGCUCCGGUACCGUAAGAUUAUGCCAUUUUUAGCCAAAAUUAAAACAAGCUGUGUUGUUUUCUACGACGUAGUUUCUGCAGAGCAGCAGGAUUUUAUCAGAAAUUUGUCUCUGAGUUGUGGGCAGGACUUUUGGCAUGGAGUAAGCCUACCUUCUUCCCAUCAUCCAUCUGUUCAAACCCUCUCCCGCUAUCUUAGAGCCCAUCACUACCUUAACCUAAAAUUACCAGUGCAAAUAAAAUGGCGAACAAUAUCGGACCUGUCCAAUUAUUUCCUAGAUUAUUUCCCCUAGAUCAGAGAUCCCCAUACUUUUUUGUGAGAGGGUCACAUAAUUGUUUUCUUCUCUUAUGUAGGGCUGGGGUCAAUUUGAAUUUCGAAAAUUACAUGGGAUUACUCACUUUCUUAUUUUGUUUAUAAAGUCAAUGUCUGUUCUUCUGUCCCUGCAGUAAUCACUUGUUCGACCCGGUGGUUGGGGACCACUGCCCAAAAUUCCUCCAGUAUUGGAGCUUUCCAGCCACACGGUUUUGAGGGUUUCAUCAGACCAAGACUGCAAAAAGAUCUUCAAAGUCAUCUCAUCUUUCUUCGGGACAGCAAAAAAAGAAAGAAAUAUGAGUGCAAAACAGUAAAUUACAUCAAUCACUGUCACUGUCCGAGAUAUGCUCAGCAGUAAAUGUCCUUCGAUGUUGAUACCUACACUUGAUCAGCUCACUUUCAGUCAAAGAAGGCAAAAGACCUGAAAAGUCAUCCAACACUGCAUUAAGGACGCACUGCUUUGUGAUGGUGUCAUUGGCCUUUAAAAUGUCUGAUUAUUAAAAUGUUUUUUUUGGCUUUAUUUUGAAAAGUUCUGCUUCUCCUUCUUAUUUGUGCAGAAAUGGUAAAAGCAUAGAGUGAAUGGUGACCACAGAUCCACGCCUUCCUAAAGCAGAAACACAACUCAACCCUCUGCUGAACGUUUUAAAAGGUUUUCAUAGUCUUCUCACAGACAUAUGGCAAGCUGAAGGUCAUCUGCAGCGUGCUGUGUGUGUGUGUCAAACGAACACUAACUUGAAUAAUUGAAUGUAAGGAAGUGUAUGAAUACUGAUGAACCACAGGGAAUAACAGAUGUGUGGUUUCAGUAGUUGCUUCAGUAUGAAUUUAAGGGGGAAAUUUGCUGGAACUGGCAAGCAGAACUCUGCCAUGUCCCAUUGCCAACUGAGCCUUGGAAUUUGUCUUUUAUUCUGCCUUUCUCUUUUACACGAUUAUUUACCGACUCCAAAAAAAAAGAGUGGUAUCCUUAUAAAGAAAAUGAUAACUCCUCACCUGUGAAGGACUUUCAAAUAAAUGUGUCGUUUCUGUUUAAGGGGUAUAAGCGCCGCGCAGCAUAAAGGCUGCUGGAUUUUAAAAAUGAAUGGUAAAUUUAUAAAAAUUCACAUGUGAAAGCUGCCUACAUUCCAGGCCUCGGUUAUGGGCUAUAAUUAGCAGAGCCUAUUAUUCUGACAACAGCUGUCCUACAAUGGAACUGUGGUGCAGAAGGAUACAUUUUCUGCACAUGGUACAAGCUGUUUCCAUGCUAAAAACCAAGGAAAAAGAGAGGAACGUUCCUCUGCUAAGUAUUACGUGAUUAGGCUUAGCUGAGACGAUUUAAAUAUUUUAUCGACUAAGCAUAAAUAUGCUAGGACUAUAUUACAGCUUCAGGUCGUACUGUGUAUUACAUCUAUUUCCAAUUAAAUACAUGAAUCCAGCACUCCCGUUUUACCAUAAAGAACAGAAUGACUGCUGGCAAAGAUGCAAAACUGGUCCAAGGAUUUAAGUCUGUGUUCAAGGCUGUUGGAGCACAAAACCGAUAAAAAGAAAAAUGAGUAUGCAGAGAUUAGCAUGGAAGGAGACCCUUUAACUCUGUUUAUGGAAGCAAAAUGCUUUUGCUUGGAGAGUAAAUCCCUUUAGAGGCAGCGAUUUAACCGCUGUUUGCAUAUCUGCCUGGAUUUGCAUCAGCUUCAAGAGUCCACCCCAUCAGGCAAUCCUGUGAGCACCUACAGUGACAUUGUCCUUCCCCAAUCUUUCAGCAGCAGAUAUCAUUCAUGACCCCAUCAGUAACAAAACUCCAACACUCACAUUCUCUUUCAUCUUUAAUAAAUCAACACGGCUACACCCACGGAUUCCCGUGGCCUUCAGGAGGGGAAUUUAUCAUUCAGCUGUUGACCAAAUCUGGCGCAACCCAAGCUUUACUGGCAACAGCGUCAGAGGUUACAUACAUUUUGUUGAUUUAUCGGCAUGAUAUACUGGACAUGGCAAAAUAAAAUAUGGUCCUCGGGACAUAAGCCAUUUAUCUUGGAACCAAUCUUCACCACAAGGACAAGCAAAAGAGGAAAACUGUGUGUAAAAUAAACAAAACAGUUUUUUCUAUGCCUGAAGUCAUCGUAUGCAGAGAGCUGCCUCACUUUCCAGAUUUGUAUUUGCCAGAAUCUGUUUGUAAUUUUAGAGGAUCCUUCUGAUGCUACGUUCACACCCGCCUCAGCAAUCCACAUUCAAGCAGGCAUUUCAAAUGAAAAGUCUAUGUAAACGCCUGUAAAUGUGUAUUGUGGGCUUCCACAUUUAAAACUCUUGCAUUCAUGCAUUGCUGCUUAAGUUUCUAAAUUUGUUUUAGGAUUCCACAGAAAGUACAACCAUUGAAUGUGCUUUGAAAGUAGGGCUGGGCGAUACUCAGCGAUUGAAUAUCAAUUUGACACUGAUCUGAUACUGGUCAAUAUUGCAAAUAUUGAUACCAAUAUCAAUAUUUUGGGUAAAUGUGGUGGAUGUGCCAUGAACCUCAAAAUCUCAGUUGUUUUUAAUUACAGUGAAUUAUUUUUUUGUAAGUUUCCCAUUUUUAAUUAUUUGAUAAACAUAAAAACAGAAUUAGGCCAACAUUUUCUGUUAAAUGGAAAACAGUUUAUUAAAGUAAAAACUUAUUGAAAUUAAAAAGGAAGUGAAGAAGUAAAUGCAAAGUAUUCAACAGACACAAAAAGAAAAAAAACAGACAACUAUUAUACAAAAAUAAAUAAAAA
Molecule: long non-coding RNA, 3124 nt
Organism: Oryzias melastigma (Indian medaka)
Lineage: Eukaryota; Metazoa; Chordata; Actinopteri; Beloniformes; Adrianichthyidae
Exons: 2
Source: RefSeq, a predicted model, not a curated record